GGAAAGAUUCAUCGGUAUGGGAUGGGGUCGCGUCCUAUCAGCUUGAUGGCGGGGUAACGGCCCACCAUGGCUUCGACGGGUAGCCGGCCUGAGAGGGCGACCGGCCACAUUGGGACUGAGAUACGGCCCAGACUCCUACGGGAGGCAGCAGUGGGGAAUAUUGCACAAUGGGCGCAAGCCUGAUGCAGCGACGCCGCGUGCGGGAUGACGGCCUUCGGGUUGUAAACCGCUUUUGACUGGGAGCAAGCCCUUCGGGGUGAGUGUACCUUUCGAAUAAGCACCGGCUAACUACGUGCCAGCAGCCGCGGUAAUACGUAGGGUGCAAGCGUUAUCCGGAAUUAUUGGGCGUAAAGGGCUCGUAGGCGGUUCGUCGCGUCCGGUGUGAAAGUCCAUCGCUUAACGGUGGAUCCGCGCCGGGUACGGGCGGGCUUGAGUGCGGUAGGGGAGACUGGAAUUCCCGGUGUAACGGUGGAAUGUGUAGAUAUCGGAAAAGAACACCA
RNAcentral lists this ribosomal RNA (500 nucleotides) under Bifidobacterium adolescentis. RNAcentral's name for it is "bacterial SSU rRNA". It matches the Rfam family "Bacterial small subunit ribosomal RNA", at positions 201 to 711 of the family's 1533-position model. Lineage: Bacteria; Bacillati; Actinomycetota; Actinomycetes; Bifidobacteriales; Bifidobacteriaceae. The record is from RNAcentral.